GACUGGACUAGCGUGUAGUCAGGUGGUAGGCUGGGAGUAGAACUUGGAAGCAAGCACUCACCAUCAGAAUGGACAGAGGUUCGCCUACCCAGCUGGGAGAACCCAGCAGGUUUCCCACACCAGCCAGGAUGAUCAUUCAAAAAUACCAACACGAAAUUGAAAAGGAUGGAACCCUUCCAGACUCUUACCAGAUGCCUGUCACUUUUGAGCCUUUGGACCUGGGAAAGGGGACUACAUCAUCUGCCAGCAAACUAUGGACUCAGAAAGCAUGAGGACAGAGUUCAUGCCUUUGACAAGUAAUAAAGACAUUGUUUAAAAAAAAAAAAGCAAUGGGUAUUUUUAUCCUUGUCAGUCUCUGACAUUUAUGCCAGGAUAUGUAACAUGAAUUCUUCUUCUCCAAUUAGCCACAUGGCUCCUGACCCAAGGUUAUGCUCAUAAAGGAGGCGAAGAGAGUUGAACUUUGCAGAGCAAUGGAUGCUUCAAGCCCACAAAUCCACAAAAAACAUCCCAAUGUGAAAGAGCCUCUGUAUUGACUCCAUGAACAAUUUCUUUUUCGUGUCUCCCUAUUUUCUCUUGCUGUGUGGAGGGUUUUCAAAAGAACCAUCGGGUCAAUAAUAAAUUGACAAAAAAAUGCCUCAAGCCACUUGUCCUGUUAGCCUGUAUAGACUCCUUUAAUUCCCAAAUGAGUGUCUUCGGUAACCUUCCUGUUGUUAGAAGUGAGGAGUACUGAUGUGUGAUGAAUAAAUUGCACCCAUUGGUUAUUGUGUCAGGAACAGAGUUAAAUUACAUGUUUCAAUUGGCAUUUCUUUCUCAAACUUCAUCGCCAAAUGAAGCAUGUGUGAUAUGACUAUGAAAGUCUUCCCUGACUCAGAACAGAGUAAAAUAAAAAACAA
Molecule: long non-coding RNA, 893 nt
Organism: Mustela erminea (ermine)
Lineage: Eukaryota; Metazoa; Chordata; Mammalia; Carnivora; Mustelidae
Exons: 3
Source: RefSeq, a predicted model, not a curated record